GAUAAAAUGACUGAAGUUUUAGGUAUUAAACUGUAAAUUUAAUUAUGAGGAUAACCUCUUUUAUCA
RNAcentral lists this transfer RNA (66 nucleotides) under Dicerapanorpa magna. RNAcentral describes it as "tRNA-Tyr". The record is from RNAcentral. Lineage: Eukaryota; Metazoa; Arthropoda; Insecta; Mecoptera; Panorpidae.